Molecule: long non-coding RNA, 3019 nt
Filed under: Paramuricea clavata
Lineage: Eukaryota; Metazoa; Cnidaria; Anthozoa; Malacalcyonacea; Plexauridae
Source: RNAcentral
GAAUUUAAUGCCCAAGGAGCGAAGAAGUUUCCAAAAUAUUUUGAGCUUUUUUGAGCGACAGUCCGUCAAAUAACGAGUUAUUGAGGCAACAUGACGAGUAGGAAAGGAUACUACGCUAACAGGGAUGCUUCGAAAGUGUAUCAAAGUGUAUCUAUUUUAUUGUUUUCCUCGAUGGAGAGCGCAUCCAUUUCUGCGUCUGCCCAUGAAUGGCCAUGAUAUACCUGCAUUCUCAAGCUUCUACCAAAGGUUGUCAAGAAACGAAUCCAAGAAGGAUUGGAGAUUGCUCCCAACAUAGCUGCAAUGUUGAUCCUUCAGAGAAAUCGCUUGUUUUAAAGCCCAUCAAUCGAGGUUUUAAUGACUAUAAAAUUUUCUAUAUUACACUAUUUCACUAUCGUUAAUAUAUAGUUACGAACUGUUUAUCUAUUUUAUUUACAAACUGAAACCCAUAAUAUAAUUAUAAAGGCCUAAAGAUAUGAUACUCGUGAGUAGUGAGUUGUCGAUGAAAAAAUAAUGAACAAUUUGGACUUUUGGAUGACUGUUUAUAUAGACGUGUUAUUGUCACUUGUCAGACUGUGGUCAGAGUGAUAAUCUACUUGGCUGUGGCAGUGCGUUAAUUACUGUCUUUGACUGUCUGCUCAUGGACAACUUGUGCUCACUUAAAACUUAAUAGAAACACAUCAAAAAUUUUCUCUGAUCAAAGUUAAAGUAGAUUUUAAUUUGAUCAAAACACAUAACAGUUUAAAUGCCUUUUAGUUGCUCUGAAGUUACAGUACUUGACCUAGUGGGGUGUUUAUAUGGAGGCAAGCCAGCUCGGGUGCCUGAGCUAGCUCGGGUGCCUGAGCUAGCUCGCUUGGCCGAGAUCUAAUGUUGCUAGAUAAUUUAUACUAAUAUUCGUAUUGUGUGUAUAUGAAAACUAGGCUGGCUUGCCUAAGCGAGAUCUUGUUUAAUUUGUGAAGCCCGACAGAGCCCCAGAUCUCGCCUAGGUUGGCUGGUUUGCCUAAGCCGCUGAAUACGAAUAUAUUGCCAAUUACUAAUUGUAGUAAAUAAGACUUUCUCAACAGAUUUUAAAUCUAUAGUUUUAAAAAUUAAUGCCUCUGUGAACAGUUGUGACGGUCAUAACCAUGACAGUUUCUCGCAAUGAUUUGUUUUGGUGCCAGCCUGCUACAUGAUGAAAUUAGCUAGGCAAAGACACCUAGCUCAGGUAACCGGGCUGGCUUGCCUCCAUAUAAACACCCCUAAGACAUUUAGUUUAUAAAAGAUUUUGAUCACAAAUACUUAUAUGAUGUAAACAAACUCAACUAAUAAUUACUAGUAUAUUUUCCGCCCUAGUUGUAAGUAAAGCUUGCAUAUAAGAACCUACUGUAUAUAAGGGCCUGUCAGGCUAAUUUUUCAGUAUUUAUACACCCAAUCUGUUUAGGCUAGUGUUUCAGGUUCUUAUUUUAUCACAUGGAGACCAGUAAGAUCUAAAAAUGUAUAAAAAUCAAAGAGAAUAAACUCUUCACAAAGUAAUGAAAAUGAUCCAGAACCCUGAAAAUGUCAUUAAGAUAAAUAAAGUCUAAAUUUACAGUGCAUACAGCUUUGUAUAAGUGCAUAUAUACUGGCAUUUUUAGAUGAUCAUGACUGAUAUAGUUACUAUACAAUUGUCUUGUCCAAAAGUGGGGUCUGGGGGUUUGAAAUCAGAGCUUUCUUUCUCCUAGAUGAUUGCCAGCCAAGGCUUAUGAGCUCCAUCUACACAAAGCAAUCUGGUUUUAAGGUGCCAGACACUUGCCAGUUCAUAUUGUACUAUAAUUGCCUGAUUUUGUGUCACAAAGAGUGGCACCAUGCCAUUAUCUAUGUUGCCAGAACAGGCUGCCGUGCAUGGUCUGUUUUGGGACAAAAUUAGACAACACAGUAAAACCCUGCGAAUAAGAACCUAGAUUUUUUCCAAGUUAGCCUAAACAGGUUCUUAUGUAAAUGGUACUUAUCUGAUUGUUCAUGUUACAAACGUACUGUAAUUAUAUUUAGUAGUUAUAUUCAGUAUUCUCAGGGGGCAUAUAAAGGCUAUAAAUAAAGCCCUGGAGUCAUGUUUGUGCUUUACCCCUUGGAGUUCUCCUUUAAUGUCUGUAUAUAUAUAUUGCCAUAUAACCCAAUAAAUCUGUUGAAAAAAAGAAAGAUUCGUUGAUGUAAAUCAAAAGUUCAUCAGUGUUUCCUGGGCAUUCUGAUGAGCUCUGAUAUAGAGCGAAACAAGCAUAUAUUUAGCAAUUGUCCUCCGUCUUGAAGAGACAUGAUGAAGUAACCUGAUCACCAGAAUUGUUCAAGCUAAUAUUAGAUCAUUCAGUGUCACAAGAAUAUCAUCAUUUAGUGUCAAUAUGAGAGUAAUAUCAAUGAAUUCAUACUUCCAGUUCAUAAUUUCAAAACAUACAUUUUUAUAACACAAAAAAGUUGAAUAUAAUCUUAGCGUCUCGUAUUCUCGUCAUUGUCAAUCUAUUGAACUCUUCUGUUGUUUAUAUUAAAACAGCAUCCAAAAUUAUCUCCAUAGCGCGCACGAGCUUGAACAAAAGCUGUUUAUCCAGCUUUUGCACGGUCAAAAAUUUCGCCCUUGGCUUUGCCACGAAGACAGGAACUGCAGCCACAUUCUCAAUCACACUUGUUUCGAAUUUCGUCAAGCGAAAAGCUUUCCCCAAGUGCUUCUGUCAUAAUGACAACAACAACUCUGGCAACAUGUUUCGAGGGAUUGAUACCGCAUGAACUAUUUUCGUGAUUAGACACAAACUCCAAAGGUAAACACUAAACACAAAUUAUUCGAACUCACACCUUCGGGAUUUCGGUUCGCCGCCCCAGCUGUUGAUAUAGCAAGCCACACAAGGUUCAAAGCGGCCUCUUUAUUCACAAUGUUUACAGUUAAAACGUUACAGUAUAAGAUUGUGUUAUAGUGUACAAAAAUUUCAAGUGUAGAAAUGUAAAAGAAAUGCAGCGAAGUAUUGUAAAACAUUGCACUCCUCGGUCACAAAUUAUGUGGAAUGUUACUUUAAACUCGUCA